Molecule: unclassified non-coding RNA, 198 nt
Filed under: rhizosphere metagenome
Description: partial ribosomal RNA internal transcribed spacer region
Source: RNAcentral
GAAUGUGCGGUGAGGGCGUAAGCCUAAGCCUGCCAAUCCACCCUUGUGCAAUGUACCGUACCCUGGUGGGUGGUUCUCUGGCCUAGCUGGGGAACCUCCACCGAAGGGCUUUCGAGCCCGACCAACGCUUUAAUCUUUGUCUGAACUUAAAUGAACCAAAUGAUCUAAACAACUUUUGACAACGGAUCUCUUGGCUCU